AGGCCCUGUGGCCCAGCAGCAGUGUGGAGGGAAGCUCCCCACCCCACCCCACCCCCCAUGCACAUUCAGACACCACACCGCCAUCCCUGAAACACACACACUGUGUACUCUGGGACAGGUUCUUCACUAGCCCAGACCAUCCAGAGGGAAGAGCCCAAGCCUCUAUUCCAGGACCCAGACCCAGUGGCAUUUCCUCAGGAAGAGCAUAUGGCCAGGGCGCUCCUGGGUCCCUGCCUAACUGGCUGAGAGUCUGAGCAGCCCUGGGUCACACCCUCUCCUCCAUCUGGACGCCUUCAUUCCUCACUGAAGGCUGACCAGUGCUUCCAAUGGUCACUGCACCUUUUUAGUUAGGCUGCAGGAGCCUGCAGAGUGGUAUGGGCCUGGCAAUCUACUGCCACCAAGUACACCACCAGAGACGCACGUGGGCACAGGCAUGUGCACAGCCCUCGGUUCAGCAGCGCUCCGCCAGCACUGACACACCCACCGUCACCUCAGACAGUGGGUCUUCAGCGGCCCGCAUCAGCACAAUCUGAAUGACGCGGCCUUCGUAGAUGUGGGCAUCGAAUGUUGACUUCCACUCGGGAUACAUGGUGGGCUUCUUCUGGACCAGAGUCUUCCCUCGCUCUGCAACGGGAAGUCAGGCUAGGACUCCUAAGUCCUUCCUUCCCUCCUUACCCCUCAUUGCCACACGGCCUACUCUAUGUCAAGUCCCGAGGCCCUGCUACGGCUCUCCAGCAUCCCACGAAGCACCCGACAGCCUCCCGUGUCUGUAGGGUACUCUGGUGGGCCCCACCUCUCGUCUUGGCUCCUGCUGUUCCCUUUCCUGUAACCCUUUGGCUCCAGCUCCAUUUCAACUCCCCUUUCUGUUUGCAUUCACCCAGUGAACACAUGUGAGAGCGGCCACAUGCCAGCCAUGGACUGGUUGGCAAGGAACAUGGCCUGGCCCUGUCUCAAGUGCCAGACAGAGACACGAACCACUGUAUUCCUCAGGUAACCACUAAGUCACAGCCGUAUGGGAUUGAGGACAAAGACCGUGGUUCUAAACCUUUCUGCCAUCAAGUGGCCUGACCCUGACAUCCAGAGACUUCCUGGAGGAAGGGGCAGCUCAGCUAGAACCUAAAAGGUGUAGGCGGCAGCCGGCAGGGAGCACAAGCACAGAAGGGCUGGCCUUCGUCCUCUGUCUGCAGGGAGCCCAGCUCAUAGGAGUUGAAGGAGAUGCGCAGGAACGGCGCCAUGGUGAAGCCUGCGGAGGAUUGUGCACAUGAAGGGGUGAAGCGAGGCAGGGGCACAGAGGCAGUGGAGACCGCUGCCGGCCCCCACUUUCCAGAGCUCACAGCACGGGAACUGCCCCACGUGGUACACCAAACGCACUAGUCUCUGGUGCCAAUGGGGAAAGCUGGGCAGCCUGACAUAAGUCUGGACUUGAGACACCGCUGGUAAAACUAAAAGAUGGAAACCAGACUUGCUGAGCGACAGCCACUGUGCUGGCUGAUCUUUUGUCUACCAGGUCAGGGUACUGUCCCCAAUCCUGAACUGGACCCUGGAGGCAUUUGAAUUGUGAUCCUGAGGCAAUCAUUUGGGGAAGUCACUCAGUGCCCCUCUCAUGGCCAGUUACUGACCGCCUAAGCAUGCCAGAGACCUAGUAUGUGCUGGGCUCCCCAUUCGAUGCCAGCAACUGCCCUCUUCUCUACUGGCUCGUGAAGCCCCUCUGGAUUCUCGGUUGCUCAUAACCACCUAUGCAGAGAAGCAUGGCGAACUGAGUCCUGUUUUAUCAGCCAAAGAACCCACUCUUUAGAUGGGCAAACUGAGACUCAGGCUGAGCCAGAUGGAAGGCUAGAGCUCUACUAACUCUGCCCUGACUUUGUUCAACACCCCCCCCCCUUCUGAACACAAGCCCCUCAGGGUCACGUCUCCUACCUAGUUAGAUUUCCUGUCCUUUCAAACUGAGAAUGGAGGCAGUGACCAAGAUCCUUUCCAGGCAGAUAAGGAGGUGUGAGAGAAACAGUGGAGGGAUAUGAAAAGGGGUGCAGUUUCACAUUUUUCUCCAAAUAU
Molecule: long non-coding RNA, 2052 nt
Organism: Peromyscus leucopus (white-footed mouse)
Lineage: Eukaryota; Metazoa; Chordata; Mammalia; Rodentia; Cricetidae
Exons: 3
Source: RefSeq, a predicted model, not a curated record